UGGGGAAUAUUGGGCAAUGGGCGAAAGCCUGACCCAGCAACGCCGCGUGAAGGAAGAAGGUCUUCGGAUUGUAAACUUCUUUUAUGAGGGACGAAGGACGUGACGGUACCUCAUGAAUAAGCCACGGCUAACUACGUGCCAGCAGCCGCGGUAAUACGUAGGUGGCAAGCGUUAUCCGGAUUUACUGGGUGUAAAGGGCGCGUAGGCGGGGAUGCAAGUCAGAUGUGAAAUCUAUGGGCUUAACUCAUAAACUGCAUUUUGAAACUGUAUCUCUUGAGUGCUGGAGAGGUAGACGGAAUUCCUUGUGUAGCGGUGAAAUGCGUAGAUAUAAGGAAGAACACCAGUGGCGAAGGCGGUCUACUGGACAGUAACUGACGCUGAGGCGCGAAAGCGUGGGGAGCAAACAGGAUUAGAUACC
This 418-nucleotide ribosomal RNA is filed under the name uncultured bacterium. Its description in RNAcentral is "bacterial SSU rRNA". It matches the Rfam family "Bacterial small subunit ribosomal RNA", at positions 355 to 786 of the family's 1533-position model. The record is from RNAcentral.